GAUGAACGCUGGCGGCGUGCCUAAUACAUGCAAGUCGAGCGAACGGACGAGAAGCUUGCUUCUCUGAUGUUAGCGGCGGACGGGUGAGUAACACGUGGAUAACCUACCUAUAAGACUGGGAUAACUUCGGGAAACCGGAGCUAAUACCGGAUGAUAUUUUGAACCGCAUGGUUCAAAAGUGAAAGACGGUCUUGCUGUCACUUAUAGAUGGAUCCGCGCUGCAUUAGCUAGUUGGUAAGGUAACGGCUUACCAAGGCAACGAUGCAUAGCCGACCUGAGAGAGAGAUCGGCCACACUGGAACUGAGACACGGUCCAGACGCCUACGAGAGGCAGCAGUAGGGAAUCUUCCGCAAUGGGCGAAAGCCUGACGGAGCAACGCCGCGUGAGUGAUGAAGGUCUUCGGAUCGUAAAACUCUGUUAUUAGGGAAGAACAUAUGUGUAAGUAACUGUGCACAUCUUGACGGUACCUAAUCAGAAAGCCACGGCUAACUACGUG
RNAcentral lists this ribosomal RNA (497 nucleotides) under uncultured bacterium. RNAcentral's name for it is "partial 16S ribosomal RNA". It matches the Rfam family "Bacterial small subunit ribosomal RNA", at positions 28 to 507 of the family's 1533-position model. The record is from RNAcentral.